UACAGAGGGGGCAAGCGUUAUUCGGAAUUAUUGGGCGUAAAGAGCGUGUAGGCGGCUAGAUAGGUCCGUUGUGAAAACUCGAGGCUCAACCUCGAGACGUCGAUGGAAACCAUCUGGCUAGAGUCCGGAAGAGGAGAGUGGAAUUCCUGGUGUAGCGGUGAAAUGCGCAGAUAUCAGGAAGAACACCCGUGGCGAAGGCGGCCCUCUGGUACGUGACUGACGCUGAGACGCGAAAGCGUGGGGAGCAAACAGG
Molecule: ribosomal RNA, 253 nt
Filed under: uncultured bacterium
Lineage: Bacteria
Description: partial 16S ribosomal RNA
Rfam family: Bacterial small subunit ribosomal RNA
Source: RNAcentral